This 112-nucleotide ribosomal RNA is filed under the name Nebria gosteliae. RNAcentral's name for it is "partial 16S ribosomal RNA". The record is from RNAcentral. Lineage: Eukaryota; Metazoa; Arthropoda; Insecta; Coleoptera; Carabidae.
GAGUUCAAACCGGUGUAAGCCAGGUCGGUUUCUAUCUUUAAUAAAUUAAAAUAUUUUAGUACGAAAGGACCAAUUAUUUAAUAUAUAUAUAUUUUAAAUUUUGAUUAUUAUU